This 497-nucleotide ribosomal RNA is filed under the name uncultured bacterium. Its description in RNAcentral is "partial 16S ribosomal RNA". It matches the Rfam family "Bacterial small subunit ribosomal RNA", at positions 28 to 507 of the family's 1533-position model. The record is from RNAcentral.
GAUGAACGCUGGCGGCGUGCCUAAUACAUGCAAGUCGAGCGAACAGACGAGGAGCUUGCUCCUCUGACGUUAGCGGCGGACGGGUGAGUAACACGUGGAUAACCUACCUAUAAGACUGGGAUAACUUCGGGAAACCGGAGCUAAUACCGGAUAAUAUAUUGAACCGCAUGGUUCAAUAGUGAAAGACGGUUUUGCUGUCACUUAUAGAUGGAUCGGCGCCGCAUUAGCUAGUUGGGAAGGUAACGGCUUACCAAGGCAACGAUGCGUAGCCGACCUGAGAGGGUGAUCGGCCACACUGGAACUGAGACACGGUCCAGACUCCUACGGGAGGCAGCAGUAGGGAAUCUUCCGCAAUGGGCGAAAGCCUGACGGAGCAACGCCGCGUGAGUGAUGAAGGUCUUCGGAUCGUAAAACUCUGUUAUUAGGGAAGAACAAAUGUGUAAGUAACUAUGCACGUCUUGACGGUACCUAAUCAGAAAGCCACGGCUAACUACGUG